Molecule: long non-coding RNA, 465 nt
Organism: Ictalurus punctatus (channel catfish)
Lineage: Eukaryota; Metazoa; Chordata; Actinopteri; Siluriformes; Ictaluridae
Source: Ensembl
GGGAAGUGGUCACAAAGGGAAGUGGUAGGUCAGCGAAGUGGUCACAAAGGGAAGUGGUAGGUCAGGGAAGUAGUAGGUCAGGGAAGUGGUCACAAAGGGAAGUGGUAGGUCAGGGAAGUGGUAGGUCAGGGAAGUGGUCACAAAGGGAAGUGGUAGGUCAGGGAAGUAGUAGGUCAGGGAAGUGGUCACAAAGGGAAGUGGUAGGUCAGCGAAGUGGUCACAAAGGGAAGUGGUAGGUCAGGGAAGUGGUAGCUCAGCACUUAAGACGUUGGACUUCUGAUUGGAAGGUUGCGAGUUCAAAUCCCAGCGUUGCCAAGCUGCCACUGUUUGGCCCUUGAGCAAGGACCUUUACCUUCAACUGCUCCAUUGUAUAAAAAUGAGAUAGUUGCAAGUCGUUCUGGAUAACGGAGUCUGCCAAAUGCUGUAAUGUAAUGUAAAAUGUGCCUUAGUAGAUAGGAAGGUAAG